This 639-nucleotide ribosomal RNA is filed under the name Candidatus Pacebacteria bacterium CG_4_10_14_0_8_um_filter_42_14. RNAcentral describes it as "bacterial SSU rRNA". It matches the Rfam family "Bacterial small subunit ribosomal RNA", at positions 903 to 1533 of the family's 1533-position model. The record is from RNAcentral. Lineage: Bacteria; Bacillati; Minisyncoccota.
AAGGAAUUGACGGGGGAGCGCACAACCGGUGGAGCAUGUGGUUUAAUUCGAUACAAAGCGAAAAACCUUACCCAGAUUUGACAUGUACCUGCACGGUCUAGGAAACUAGACUUUCUUCGAGAGUGGUACACAGGUGAUGCAUGGCUGUCGUCAGCUCGUGUCGUGAGACGUCCACUUAAGUGUGGUAACGAGCGCAACCCUUGUCGUAUGUUAUACGUAUCAUACGAGACUGCCUCUGCUUAGCAGGGGAGGAAGGAGAGGACGAUGUCAAGUCAGCAUGUCCCUUACAUCUGGGGCUACACACAUCCUACAAUGGAGCCGACAACGGGUAGCGACGGGGUAACCCCGAGCCAAUCCUAUAAACGGCCCCUCAGUUCGGAUUGAAGGCUGCAAUUUGCCUUCAUGAAGUCGGAAUCGGUAGUAAUCGCAAAUCAGCAGGUUGCGGUGAAUACGUUCUCGCUCCUUGUACACACUGCCCGUCAAGCCAGCAAAGUCAGCAGCGCCCGAAGCGGGUGUCCAUAACCCCGCAUUUAUGCGGGGGGUGGCCCUUCUACGGCGAGGUUGGCGAUGAGGACUAAGUCGUAACAAGGUAUCCGUACUGGAAGGUGCGGAUGGAUCACCUCCUUUCUAAGGAGUAAG